GUAUAGGCCUUCAACUCUUUAUUUAAACUAAUUUAAUUUAUUUUUUAUUUUCGGUAAAUUCUGAGAUCUAAAGUCGGUAAAUUCCGAUUAAAAUCGAUAACCGAACCAAACGGACGGUAAAGUGUCAAACCAAUUUCGAUACCGGUUCUGAUUUAAAAUUCCGAUAAUCGAUUCCGUUUUCGAAAAAUACUGAUAUCGGUGAACUGAAUCGAAAAAAAUCGAAAACGGUUUUCGGAAAACCGAAAAAUUCCGAAACCGUUUUCAUCUCUACUCAUCGUAGUUUGUCUUUCGCCACCAGGUGGGGGUAGAGGUCGUUGCGACGUCAAUCGACGGUAAGUCACUCUUGACUAGUUUGCAAGCCUUCGGGUAUCGUGUAGAACGCUUGUAGUUUGUCUUUCGCCACCAGGUGGGGGGUAGAGGUCGUUGCGACGUCAAUCGACGGUAAGUCACUCUUGACUAGUUUGCAAGCCUUCGGGUAUCGUGUAGAACGCUUCAGAUUAGAGAAUAGAGCAUCAGGGAGCGAGUUGGUGUGUCGCCGGCGAUGGCCGCCGCCAUGGUGUAGGGCACCGUCGCCAUGCCCUGGCAUCGGGUGAGGAAGAUGGAGGGUGGUCGUCUGUUUUGUGACGAGAACAGCGUGUACCGGUUGAAUCUCCUUAUCCGUGUCAUUUAUACUUUAGCUCGCGGCUGAGAUCGGAUCCUGGGCGUACCGUUUCAUGAUUGAUCAUGGGUCGUAGAUCCCAGAUCCAUUGGCCUGGAAUAGAUCGCGAGUUCCUUGAAUAUCGAGCGUUGAUUCGUGAUCCGACCGCUGAUAUAGAAUAUCAGUUCGCAAUCUGUUACGAACCGAUGAUCUAAGAUCCAUCGGCUGGAAAGCGUCGAUACCCCUUCGGUCGUAUACAUUUUUAUUAAAGAGACCCUCGACUUGUCACAAAUGAACUCGCAGUCAAUGUAAAUAGAAAGAUCCUUUUUCACUUAGGUCCAAACCUUUAAGAUUUUUACCCUAGAUUCUAUAAUAUUUGCACCCGCUGUCCAUUGGCGCUAAUAAAAUUAUAAAACUUAAUCUGGAAAUGAGUUUUAGUAUAAAAGUAUUCCUAAAUCUUAGUAAAUCCAUAUUUUCUCCGAUUUAACCCGUUCCAGUU
This 1136-nucleotide long non-coding RNA is filed under the name Zea mays. RNAcentral's name for it is "long non-coding RNA (ZMAY_LNC004056)". Lineage: Eukaryota; Viridiplantae; Streptophyta; Magnoliopsida; Poales; Poaceae. The record is from RNAcentral.